UUCUCGGCUAGUGCACCA
RNAcentral lists this unclassified non-coding RNA (18 nucleotides) under Chlamydomonas reinhardtii. RNAcentral's name for it is "small RNA Cre_3845". The record is from RNAcentral. Lineage: Eukaryota; Viridiplantae; Chlorophyta; Chlorophyceae; Chlamydomonadales; Chlamydomonadaceae.